Molecule: ribosomal RNA, 478 nt
Filed under: uncultured bacterium
Lineage: Bacteria
Description: partial 16S ribosomal RNA
Rfam family: Bacterial small subunit ribosomal RNA
Source: RNAcentral
GACGAACGCUGGUGGCGUGCUUAACACAUGCAAGUCGAACGGGAUUUAGUAAACAGCAGCCUCGGUGGAAGAUUACUAAUGAGAGUGGCGAACGGGUGAUUAACGCGUGAGCAACCUGCCUAUGACAGUGGGAUAGCCUCGGGACACCGGGAUUAAUACCGCAUAAAAUCGUAGAAACACAUGUUUUAACGGUCAAAGAUUUAUCGGUCAUAGAUGGGCUCGCGUCUGAUUAGCUAGUUGGUGAGAUAACAGCCCACCAAGGCGACGAUCAGUAGCCGGUCUGAGAGGAUGAACGGCCACAUUGGAACUGAGACACGGUCCAGACUCCUACGGGAGGCAGCAGUGGGGAAUAUUGCACAAUGGGGGAAAGCCUGAUGCAGCGACGCCGCGUGAACGAAGAAGGUAUUCGGAUCGUAAAGUUCUGUCCUAUGGGAAGAUAAUGACAGUACCAUAGAAGAAAGCUCCGGCUAAAUACGUG